Molecule: transfer RNA, 74 nt
Filed under: Spirochaetaceae bacterium
Lineage: Bacteria; Pseudomonadati; Spirochaetota; Spirochaetia; Spirochaetales; Spirochaetaceae
Description: tRNA-Arg
Rfam family: tRNA
About the family: Transfer RNA (tRNA) molecules are approximately 80 nucleotides in length. Their secondary structure includes four short double-helical elements and three loops (D, anti-codon, and T loops).
Source: RNAcentral
GACCCAGUAGCUCAGAUGGAUAGAGCGGCUGCCUCCUAAGCAGCAGGUCCCCUGUUCGAAUCAGGGCUGGGCCA